This 254-nucleotide ribosomal RNA is filed under the name uncultured bacterium. Its description in RNAcentral is "partial 16S ribosomal RNA". It matches the Rfam family "Bacterial small subunit ribosomal RNA", at positions 524 to 776 of the family's 1533-position model. The record is from RNAcentral.
UACGGGGGGGGGCUAGCGUUGUUCGGAAUUACUGGGCGUAAAGGGCGCGUAGGCGGCCUACUAAGUCGGACGUGAAAUCCCUCGGCUCAACCGGGGAACUGCGUCCGAUACUGGUGGGCUCGAAUCCGGGAGAGGGAUGUGGAAUUCCAGGUGUAGCGGUGAAAUGCGUAGAUAUCUGGAGGAACACCGACGGCGUAGGCAGCGCCCUGGACGACACCUGACGCUGAGGCACGAAAGCUGGGGGAGCGAACAGG